Molecule: ribosomal RNA, 230 nt
Filed under: uncultured bacterium
Lineage: Bacteria
Description: partial 16S ribosomal RNA
Rfam family: Bacterial small subunit ribosomal RNA
Source: RNAcentral
CGGACGGGUGAGUAAUGUCUGGGAAACUGCCCGAUGGAGGGGAUAACUACUGGAAACGGUAGCUAAUACCGCAUAACGUCGCAAGACCAAAGAGGGGGCCUUCGGGCCUCUUGCCAUCGGAUGUGCCCAGAUGGGAUUAGCUAGUAGGUGGGGUAACGGCUCACCUAGGCGACGAUCCCUAGCUGGUCUGAGAGGAUGACCAGCCACACUGGAACUGAGACACGGUCCAG